CCCUUAGAUGUUCUGGGCUGCACACGUGCUCCACUGGCAGGUUCAGCGAGCUUCAUGCCCUGAUCUGAAAGGAAUGGGAAAUCUUUUCAAAACCUGCCGUGCUUGGGAUAGAUGUUUGCAAUUAUUCAUCUUCAACGAGGAUUGCCUUGUAAGCGCACGUCAUCAGCGUGCAUUGAAUACGACCCUGUAUUCUGUACACACCGCCCGUCGCUCCUACCGAUUGAAGUUUUCGGUGAGUUGACAGGAGGAUUUUUUUGAAACUGGUUCGCCAGUGGAUUUUAGAUCCAAAUGCCAACGAAUCGAUGGCUUUAGAGGAAGGAGAAGUCGUAACA
RNAcentral lists this ribosomal RNA (332 nucleotides) under uncultured eukaryote. RNAcentral's name for it is "partial 18S ribosomal RNA". It matches the Rfam family "Eukaryotic small subunit ribosomal RNA", at positions 1470 to 1796 of the family's 1831-position model. The record is from RNAcentral.